This 96-nucleotide signal recognition particle RNA is filed under the name Paracoccaceae bacterium. RNAcentral describes it as "Rhodobacteraceae bacterium signal recognition particle sRNA small type". It matches the Rfam family "Bacterial small signal recognition particle RNA". From Rfam's summary of the family: The signal recognition particle (SRP) is a universally conserved ribonucleoprotein involved in the co-translational targeting of proteins to membranes. Archaeal SRP consists of a 7S RNA and homologues of the eukaryotic SRP19 and SRP54 proteins. The record is from RNAcentral. Lineage: Bacteria; Pseudomonadati; Pseudomonadota; Alphaproteobacteria; Rhodobacterales; Paracoccaceae.
GAGAGGUCGUGUUGGACGUUCUGCUCGCCAACCCGGUCAGGUUCGAGAGAAAGCAGCCGCAACGAGAUCAAGACGGGCCAACUCCACGACCUCUCA